This 126-nucleotide small nucleolar RNA is filed under the name Echinops telfairi (small Madagascar hedgehog). RNAcentral's name for it is "Small nucleolar RNA SNORA42/SNORA80 family (ENSETEG00000022811.1)". The record is from RNAcentral. Lineage: Eukaryota; Metazoa; Chordata; Mammalia; Afrosoricida; Tenrecidae.
ACAUUGAAAACGAAAUGAUGAUCCCAUGGGCCUCUCACAGUGUCCCAUGCCAAAGCAAACUGUCACCCGGAACCAGUGCCUGGCUUUACCCGGUGGGCUUAAGGCACUGAAGCGGGUUGCACAGAG